CUCAUAAGUCUUUACGGAGAAAGCUUUAUGCGCCGAAGGAUGAGCCUGCACUUGAUUAGUUUGUUGGUGGGGUAAUGGCCUACCAAGACUUUGAUCUAUAGCUGAUCUGAGAGGAUGAUCAGCCACAUUGGGACUGAGACACGGCCCAAACUCCUACGGGAGGCAGCAGUAGGGAAUAUUGCACAAUGGAGGAAACUCUGAUGCAGCGAUGCCGCGUGAGUGAAGAAGG
Molecule: ribosomal RNA, 229 nt
Filed under: uncultured Alphaproteobacteria bacterium
Lineage: Bacteria; Pseudomonadati; Pseudomonadota; Alphaproteobacteria
Description: partial 16S ribosomal RNA
Rfam family: Bacterial small subunit ribosomal RNA
Source: RNAcentral